CCUACGGGGGGCAGCAGUGAGGAAUAUUGGUCAAUGGGCGUAAGCCUGAACCAGCCAAGUCGCGUGAGGGAUGAAGGUUCUAUGGAUCGUAAACCUCUUUUAUAAGGGAAUAAAGUGUGGGACGUGUCCUAUUUUGUAUGUACCUUAUGAAUAAGGAACGGCUAACGCCGUGCCAGCAGACGCGGUAAUACGGAGGAUCCGAGCGUUAUCCGGAUUUAUUGGUGUUAAAGGGUGCGUAGGCGGCCUUUUAAGUCAGCGGUGAAUGUUUGUGGCUCAACCAUAGAAUUGCCGUUGAAACUGGGGGGCUUGAGUAUGUUUGAGGCAGGCGGAAUGCGUGGUGUAGCGGUGAAAUGCUUAGAUAGCACGCAGAACCCCGAUUGCGAAGGCAGCCUGCCAAGCCAUGACUGACGCUGAUGCACGAAAGCGUGGGGAUCAAACAGGAUUAGAUACCCGUGUAGUC
This 460-nucleotide ribosomal RNA is filed under the name uncultured bacterium. RNAcentral describes it as "partial 16S ribosomal RNA". It matches the Rfam family "Bacterial small subunit ribosomal RNA", at positions 338 to 795 of the family's 1533-position model. The record is from RNAcentral.